UGGGGAAUAUUGGACAAUGGGCGAAAGCCUGAUCCAGCAACGCCGCGUGAGGGAUGACGGCCUUCGGGUUGUAAACCUCUUUCAGCAGGGACGAAGCGAAAGUGACGGUACCUGCAAAAGAAGCACCGGCCAACUACGUGCCAGCAGCCGCGGUAAUACGUAGGGUGCAAGCGUUGUCCGGAAUUAUUGGGCGUAAAGGGCUCGUAGGCGGUCCGUCACGUCGGGAGUGAAAUCCUGGGGCUUAACCCCAGAACUGCUUCCGAUACGGGCAGACUAGAGGUAGGUAGGGGAGAAUGGAAUUCCUGGUGUAGCGGUGGAAUGCGCAGAUAUCAGGAGGAACACCAGUGGCGAAGGCGGUUCUCUGGGCCUUACCUGACGCUGAGGAGCGAAAGCGUGGGGAGCAAACA
RNAcentral lists this ribosomal RNA (407 nucleotides) under uncultured Nocardioides sp. Its description in RNAcentral is "bacterial SSU rRNA". It matches the Rfam family "Bacterial small subunit ribosomal RNA", at positions 355 to 774 of the family's 1533-position model. The record is from RNAcentral. Lineage: Bacteria; Bacillati; Actinomycetota; Actinomycetes; Propionibacteriales; Nocardioidaceae. RNAcentral also lists the same sequence under 1 other name.